This is a non-coding RNA of Schizosaccharomyces pombe (fission yeast), 412 nucleotides long. Lineage: Eukaryota; Fungi; Ascomycota; Schizosaccharomycetes; Schizosaccharomycetales; Schizosaccharomycetaceae. The record is from the annotation of a GenBank genome assembly.
AAAUACCUUAAGCGCAUCUAGGACACGUACUUAAGCAUGGGUCUAUAUAUUCAAUAACUUAGCAAUGUUACGAAAUAUUUAGGAGGAAUAGUUUUAUGCACUCUUUAAUACUUCAAAUUUUACUUCCGUCUAUAUCUGUUGAAUUAAGCAUUCAAAAUGACAAUUGACAACAUUAAAACAAUGUAAAUCUAUUUGGAAGUACUAAUUUUUGUUUUCGAUUUCUUAAUUAGGAAAACAAAAAGUGCCUACUUGCAUUUUCACAGCCUUUUUCUUUGGAUUCUGAAUGUAUACAUUAGCACCCUGUUGAUAAUUCUUUCACGUAGGUAAAAAAGACAUCAUUAAGCUAUUGAUUUUAAAUGGCCGUAGAAAAUUCAAACUGUCGUAGGUCAGACAACACUUCUCUAAAGAUGAA